This 332-nucleotide unclassified non-coding RNA is filed under the name soil metagenome. Its description in RNAcentral is "partial contains 5.8S ribosomal RNA, internal transcribed spacer 2, and large subunit ribosomal RNA". The stretch from base 1 to 120 matches the Rfam family "5.8S ribosomal RNA", at positions 35 to 154 of the family's 154-position model. The record is from RNAcentral.
GAUGAAGAACGUAGUAAAAUGCGAUAAGUAAUGUGAAUUGCAGAAUUCAGUGAAUCAUCGAAUCUUUGAACGCACAUUGCGCCCGCCAGUAUUCUGGCGGGCAUGCCUGUUCGAGCGUCAUUUCAACCCUCAAGCACAGCUUGGUGUUGGGACUCGCGUUAAUUCGCGUUCCUCAAAUUGAUUGGCGGUCACGUCGAGCUUCCAUAGCGUAGUAGUAAAACCCUCGUUACUGGUAAUCGUCGCGGCCACGCCGUUAAACCUCAACUUCUGAAUGUUGACCUCGGAUCAGGUAGGAAUACCCGCUGAACUUAAGCAUAUCAAUAAGCGGAGGA